GGUCCAGACUCCUACGGGAGGCAGCAGUGGGGAAUAUUGCACAAUGGGGGAAACCCUGAUGCAGCGACGCCGCGUGAGCGAUGAAGUAUUUCGGUAUGUAAAGCUCUAUCAGCAGGGAAGAAAAUGACGGUACCUGAAGAAGAAGCCCCGGCUAACUACGUGCCAGCAGCCGCGGUAAUACGUAGGGGGCAAGCGUUAUCCGGAUUUACUGGGUGUAAAGGGGGCGCAGACGGCGAUGCAAGCCAGGGGUGAAAGCCCGGGGCCCAACCCCGGGACUGCCCUUGGAACUGUGCGGCUAGAGUGCGGGAGGGGCAGGCGGAAUUCCUGGUGUAGCGGUGAAAUGCGUAGAUAUCAGGAGGAACACCGGCGGCGAAGGCGGCCUGCUGGACCGCGACUGACGUUGAGGCUCGAAAGCGUGGGGAGCGAACAGGAUUAGAUACCCGAGUAA
Molecule: ribosomal RNA, 448 nt
Filed under: uncultured bacterium
Lineage: Bacteria
Description: partial 16S ribosomal RNA
Rfam family: Bacterial small subunit ribosomal RNA
Source: RNAcentral